AACAAAGAUGAGAGAUCAUUAGAAUCCCAACCAACAUUUUUUUUCCUUGAGCUAAAUUGGACCAACAAAGAUGAGAAGACAUGGACUCAAAUUCUAUUUAUACAGAAUGAGGGGUAGCCUGGUCGAUGAGUACCCCUACCUACCAUGAGCACCUGGUUUUGAUUCUCAUCAGAGGGUGGAGUGAGGGUAGCUAAGGGUGUAAUUUGGGUUCAUCAAGCCAUUUGAACCAAAUUGGGCCCAAAUUGAACAUAUGCAUUGAUAUGGGCUACGGAGGAGACCAAUUUGUUUGUAAUUUGUCAGUCAUUUUCUACAUCUAUACCUAUAUAUAAAGUGGAGACGCUCUCAGCUCUCUCCCUAUUUCUCCAAUACACUUCUCUCCAAUAGAACGUGUUCUGCGGCAAUAAAAGAAGCGAAAAAAACGGACGAUCUCAAAGCCGUUUCUAUCUACGUUUGCUGCUUCCCUUCUCUAUUUCCAUCUCCCAAUUAAGCAUGCCCGGCGGCAAUAAAGAAUGCUAUCCGUUUGCUUUGUGGUGAUGGGGUUCAGGGCGACGAUGGGCUGUCGAUUUCAGUGAUGUUUCAACUGUUGCUUCCUCCCGUGACAUCCCUAAUCCUCCCAAUUUCUCUCGCGCCUCUCAAGAUCAGGAUGAUUCCACGCGAAGUCGGCAAAAGAAGGAUUUUGAGGCCAAUUGGAAAGCUCAGGUUCUUUUUUUAGAAUCUCUAAUUUUUUCGAUCCAAUCCAGAUCCUAUUGAUUAGGCUGAAUUACCUAAAUUGUUAUCAGUCGGUAGAGGAUCUGAGUUGAUCCCUGUUAAUUGAAUUUUUUGGGGUUUCCGGUACCCUGGUUUUGAAUGAGCUCAAAAGAGGAACUCUGUAAUUUCGUUUACUUCUGAAACUUUUGACAAUUCGCGACAUGUCGUAACAAGGUAAGGUUUUAUGGAUUUUAGCGAUUACUGAUUAGCAUCUCUUUGUAAUAUUUUCUUCCGUGUUUUCGGUCGUACGGGGAAAUGAAGUCAUGUCGAUGAUUGAAUUCAUGAAUCUUAUUUCAAUUUCCUGAUUUAGGUGCGAUUGAAUUUAUGUAUUUGUGCCUUCUCUUUUAUAACUAUUAUCAGGCUGAUUGUCACAAGUGUGUUGGAAUCUCAGGUGGAAUUAUCCUAGAAAAAAGUAGUAGUCAUAAAGGCAUGGUUAUAUGAUGAUAUGGGUACAAGAGUUGAUUGCGAAGCUCCAGGUCUUGGAUUUUCCUAGAUGUUAUGAUUUCUGAGUCAUUGUUGUGUUCAUUUCAUUGUCAUUACGCUUAUUGUUGCCUUCCUUACUUUUCAUUGGAACUGAUUUAAUUAAAAUGUCAACAGCAUGUGGAUGUUGUGUCUUGAAAAGUAGAUGGUGAUCUUAAAUUAGUGGCGAAUAUGAGCUUAACAUAAAAGGUGGUUCAUUUAAAUUUCGAUGAAAAAUGUUUUACCCUUUGAUUAACUUUCUCUUUAAAGACUUCUUUGAUUAACUUUCUCUUUAAAGAAUUUUUUAAUUACUCAUUUCUUUGUUCUCCCAAUGAAGUCUAUUUCACAAAGUCGAUAUCCAAAUUCUCUGGCAUCAUCAAAUUGAUGUUAUCUGACUCCUGAGAUCACCCCAUCCACAAAAGGAUGUGCCCAUCUUAAACUAUGACCUGGCUCUUCUUUUUCAGCCCAUACUAAUGUCGUUUCUUUAAUUGCUAAUGACUGCAGCACACUAAUAUGAUCUUUAUGUUUAUUUAUAUUGUGGAGCCAUUGCAGUGAAAGAGAGGGAAAAAGGCUAUUGGGUUGAUUUUCAUGGGAACUUUAAAGCCUAAAAUUGAAAGUGGCUUACUAGGUUUAGGAGGAGCUUUUCAAUGUGGAGAAUGUUGAGAGAUAUUGAACAAAAGAGCAGUUAGGCUAUGGAAAAGGAAUGACAUGUUUUUGAUGUCAGGACUGGGGAUAUUGUGGAGAUUAAAUUGGAAGUUCCCGAAAAUAGGCGUAGAUUGUCUGUCUAUCUACAAAGGUAUUGUUAAGUCUAGACAAAAUGCCUGCGUCCACACCACCAUUUGGAUCUGGAGAAUUGUUGUUGGCGUGAUGGUUCAAAUUGUCCUCCCUCUGCAAGUAUUACCCUGCCAUCAUUUCUAAGGCUUAGGUCAUGACUAUUUGUUUUAGCUAGCUAGAAAAAAUAAUGGCAAAGUUAUCUUUGGCCAAAUAAUGUUGUAUGAUGAAUUAUGUGAUAAUGUAAAUUUGUGCCGUUGGACAUGGAAAAGGCCAAUCUGGUGUUGCCAUGGCAAU
Long non-coding RNA from Tripterygium wilfordii, 2274 nucleotides. RefSeq lists it as uncharacterized. The record is from RefSeq and is a predicted model, not a curated record. The transcript has 5 exons. NCBI's taxonomy places the organism in Eukaryota, Viridiplantae, Streptophyta, Magnoliopsida, Celastrales, Celastraceae.